AAAAAUUUAACUUUCUUGUCACAUACACAGGACCGAAGAAAACUCCAUUUGCAUUGCACCAUUUACACUUGGGCUCAAGACUGCUAAUCGUUAAGGGAGUUGUGUCAGCAGGACGCCGGCGCCAGAGCAUUUUUCAUUUAAUGUCCUUUCUUUGCGUUGACAUUCUUAGAACUGUAAGGAAAUUUCCAGAAUUUUGUAAAAAUGUUGCAGCGCGAUUUUUCACACUUGGAUCAGCACAGCUACAAUUACGCUGUAUUGGACAUGAUUCUUUCUGUUGCAUUGUGAUUGCCGAGCCCUUUUCGAAAGUAUUUUGUUGCAUACUCGAUCCCGAUUGUAUAUUUUUAGAUGUGGUGGCAGUGGGUCACACACGUGCAAGGGUCAGAUCGAGAGUCUGCAGGUAGAAACACCAGAAACGCCUAAAAAGAAGAUAAAAGAGGAAUUAAUGAAACGGACCCUAAAAUGACCCAAAACGAAUGCAGUCGGGGUAAGGAAGGGAUAACUGCCAUCACUUGAAUGCCUUGAAGAGCAAUUGCCACCGAGAUGCCUUGAUGAUGUUGCAAGAUAAGGGACAUAGGAAAUCAACAAGCAAUCCAACGUGGGCGACGCCCCUGAAACUCAAACAGAAAC
This is a long non-coding RNA of Drosophila nasuta, 627 nucleotides long. RefSeq lists it as uncharacterized. The record is from RefSeq and is a predicted model, not a curated record. The transcript has 4 exons. Lineage: Eukaryota; Metazoa; Arthropoda; Insecta; Diptera; Drosophilidae.